CAUGCAAGUCGAACGUGAUUUUGUGGAAAUUCUUUCGGGAAUGGAAAUGAAAUGAAAGUGGCGAACGGGUGAGUAACACGUGAGCAACCUACCUUACACAGGGGGAUAGCCGUUGGAAACGACGAUUAAUACCGCAUGAGACCACAGAAUCGCAUGAUAUAGGGGUCAAAGAUUUAUCGGUGUAAGAAGGGCUCGCGUCUGAUUAGCUAGUUGGAAGGGUAAAGGCCUACCAAGGCGACGAUCAGUAGCCGGUCUGAGAGGAUGAACGGCCACAUUGGAACUGAGACACGGUCCAAACUCCUACGGGAGGCAGCAGUGGGGAAUAUUGCACAAUGGGGGGAACCCUGAUGCAGCGACGCCGCGUGAGCGAAGAAGGUUUUCGAAUCGUAAAGCUCUGUCCUAUGAGAAGAUAAUGACGGUAUCAUAGGAGGAAGCCCCGGCUAAAUACGUGCCAGCAGCCGCGGUGAUACGUAUGGGGCGAGCGUUGUCCGGAAUUAUUGGGCGUAAAGGGUACGUAGGCGGUUUUUUAAGUCAGGUGUGAAAGCGUGAGGCUUAACCUCAUUAAGCACUUGAAACUGGAAGACUUGAGUGAAGGAGAGGAAAGUGGAAUUCUCUAGUGUAGCGGUGAAAUGCGUAGAUAUUAGGAGGAUACCGGUGGCGAAGGCGACUUUCUGGACUUUUACU
Molecule: ribosomal RNA, 684 nt
Filed under: uncultured Clostridium sp.
Lineage: Bacteria; Bacillati; Bacillota; Clostridia; Eubacteriales; Clostridiaceae
Description: bacterial SSU rRNA
Rfam family: Bacterial small subunit ribosomal RNA
Source: RNAcentral